GAUGAACGCUGGCGGCGUGCCUAAUACAUGCAAGUCGAGCGAACAGACGAGGAGCUUGCUCCUCUGACGUUAGCGGCGGACGUGUGAGUAACACGUGGAUAACCUACCUAUCAGACUGGGAUAACUUCGGGAAACCGGAGCUAAUACCGGAUAAUAUCUUGAACCGCAUGGUUCAAUAGUGAAAGACGGUUGUGCUGUCACUUAUAGAUGGAUCCCCGCCGCAUUAGAUGGUUGGUAAGGUAACGGCUUACCAAGGCAACGAUGCGUAGGCGACCGGAGAGGGUGAUAGGCGACAUGGGAAGGGGGACAGGGUCCAGACUACUACGAGAGGCAGCAGAAGGGAAUGUGCCGCAAUGGGCGAAAGUAUGACGGAGCAACGCCGCGUGAGUGACGAAGGUCUUCGGAUCGUAAAACUCUGUUACUAGGGAAGAACAAAUGUGUAAGUAACUAUGCCCGUCUUGACGGUACCUAAUCAGAAAGCCACGGCUAACUACGUG
This 497-nucleotide ribosomal RNA is filed under the name uncultured bacterium. RNAcentral describes it as "partial 16S ribosomal RNA". It matches the Rfam family "Bacterial small subunit ribosomal RNA", at positions 28 to 507 of the family's 1533-position model. The record is from RNAcentral.